Molecule: long non-coding RNA, 941 nt
Organism: Solanum pennellii
Lineage: Eukaryota; Viridiplantae; Streptophyta; Magnoliopsida; Solanales; Solanaceae
Exons: 5
Source: RefSeq, a predicted model, not a curated record
ACAUAUCAAUUAUCACUACGUGUCUUUCUCUGGUUAUAUGUCACUUUGUGUGUCUUCAUGUCAUCAGUGUUCUGCUGUUUCCUUUAGCAUUUCAUCUAGGUAAGGUUCUUCGGUUUUCAUUCAGUUCUUCUUGCAUCAUCUUUUUUCUCCUCAAGAUUGAAGUUCGGGAACCAAAUUUGGUCUAGGCGUGUGAAUAUACUAAAUUUGAUUUGGUGUGAAGUUGAGGAAGGAUUGCAGUUAUUACGAUUAAGGUAUCAACUACAGAAGUCUUACAGGCAGCUGAGUUACAUUCGGAGGGUGAUUUGAAGGAAUGGGUGACUGCUAUAGUGAAGCUUGAGGUGAAUGACCAUGGCGCUGCCGAUGUACAUUUUGAGGCUUUUCAGAUGAGUGAUAUGUGUGUUAGAUUGUUCAAGGAAGGCUGGUUUGAGACGGAUGUUAACGAUGAGAUUGAUCCAAAGCUUUCCAAGAUGAAGAAAGAUGUGGUGGUAGGAGUCAAGGACACAUGAGAAGUUGAUAAAGACUUCUUCUUGGUUGUUGUCAAGAUUGCGGAUUACCAGCGUAGUAUAUAAUACUUUUUUGCGAUAUGGAUGGCACCAUCCUUUUGUCUACUCGGCUACUAUAAAUAUUGAUGGCGGACACUUUUGUUGUUGAUAUCGUGGAUUUUGCUGCUAUUCUUGCAAACCGUCAGAUGUGCUCUCUGCCGCUGAAUAACGCUGAAAAAGGGCCAAAAUGUAGCAGUCAAAAUGGAGCAUGUAGAACGUAAAAUCUCGUGUUUCAAUGUAUGCACUAUCAUUAUAUUCAACUCACAAAAGUAUUGCAACGUUGGGCCCGUGCAAGCACGGGCAACUCUUACCUAUGCACUAUCAUUACAUUCAACUCACAAAAGUAUUGCAACGUUGGGCCCGUGCUUGCACGGGCAACUCUUACCUAGUAUAUACAUA